RNAcentral lists this ribosomal RNA (1469 nucleotides) under uncultured prokaryote. RNAcentral's name for it is "partial 16S ribosomal RNA". It matches the Rfam family "Bacterial small subunit ribosomal RNA". The record is from RNAcentral.
AGAGUUUGAUCCUGGCUCAGAAUGAACGCUGGCGGCAUGGAUUAGGCAUGCAAGUCGUACGCUCUCUUCGGAGAGAGUGGCGCAAGGGUGAGUAACGCGUGAGCAAUUUACCUCCAAGUUUGGGAUAACUGUUGGAAACGACAGCUAAUACCGGAUGUGGUUAUUUGUACGCAUGAUGGAAUGACUAAAGGUUUACCGCUUGGAGAUAAGCUCGCGUUCCAUUAUGCUUGUUGGUGAGGUAAUAGCUCACCAAGGCUAUGACGGAUAGGUGGUCUGAGAGGAUGGUCACCCACACUGGGACUGAGAUACUGCCCAGACUCCUGCGGGAGGCUGCAGUCGAGAAUCUUCCGCAAUGCGCGAAAGCGUGACGGAGCAAUGCCGCGUGAGGGAUGAAGGCUUUCGGGUCGUAAACCUCUGUCAGAAGGGAAAAACAUUGAUGGUACCUUCAGAGGAAGCCACGGCUAACUACGUGCCAGCAGCCGCGGUAAUACGUAGGUGGCGAGCGUUAUUCGGAUUUACUGGGCGUAAAGGGUCCGUAGGGGGAUGGAUAAGUUUGAUGUGAAAUUUCGAGGCUCAACCUCGAACCUGCAUUGAAAACUGUCCAUCUAGAAUUCGGUAGAGGUAAGUGGAAUUUGUGGUGUAGCGGUGGAAUGCGUAGAUAUCACAAGGAACACCAAAGGCGAAAGCAGCUUACUGGGCCGAUAUUGACCCUGAGGGACGAAAGCUAAGGUAGCGAAAAGGAUUAGAUACCCUUGUAGUCUUAGCCGUAAACGUUGUACACUCGAUGUCGGGGGAAUUAGCCCCUUCGGUGUCUAAGCUAACGCGAUAAGUGUACCGCCUGGGAAGUACGGUCGCAAGACUAAAACUCAAAGGAAUUGACGGGGGCCCGCACAAGCGGUGGAGCAUGUGGCUUAAUUCGAGGCAACGCGAAGAACCUUACCUGGGUUUGACAUAUAUAUGACCGCUCCAGAAACGGAGUUUCUCUUCGGAGCAUAUAUACAGGUGCUGCAUGGCUGUCGUCAGCUCGUGCCGUGAGGUGUUCGGUUAAGUCCGGCAACGAGCGCAACCCAUGUCUUUAGUUGCCAACAGGUAAUGGUGGGGACUCUAGAGAGACUGCCCGAGUCAAUCGGGAGGAAGGCGUGGACGACGUCAAGUCAGUAUGGCCCUUACACCCAGGGCUGCACACGUGCUACAAUGGCGACUACAGAAGGCAGCAAUACCGCGAGGUGGAGCUAAUCCGAGAAAAGUCGCCCCAGUUCGGAUAGGAGUCUGCAACUCGACUCCAUGAAGUCGGAAUCGCUAGUAAAGGCGUAUCAGCUACGACGCCUUGAAUACGUUCCCGGGCCUUGUACACACCGCCCGUCACAUCAUGGGAGCCUGGUGCACCCGAAGCCGCCGUACCAACUGCUUGCAGAGGAAGGCGUCGAAGGUGUGCCCGGUAACAGGGAUGAAGUCGUAACAAGGUAACC